GCGGGUGUAGUUCAAUGGCAGAACGGCAGCUUCCCAAGCUGCACACGAGGGUUCGAUUCCCUUCACCCGCUCCA
RNAcentral lists this transfer RNA (74 nucleotides) under Thiothrix sp. RNAcentral's name for it is "tRNA-Gly". It matches the Rfam family "tRNA". Rfam says of the family: Transfer RNA (tRNA) molecules are approximately 80 nucleotides in length. Their secondary structure includes four short double-helical elements and three loops (D, anti-codon, and T loops). Lineage: Bacteria; Pseudomonadati; Pseudomonadota; Gammaproteobacteria; Thiotrichales; Thiotrichaceae. RNAcentral also lists the same sequence under 5 other names. The record is from RNAcentral.